AACCUUCAUGGUGUGACUUAUUAAUUUGAUACCCCUAUAGUUGUUGCAGCACUGGAUGUCGCUUUUGUUCUUGUACAAGGGCUCCACUGUACUCCACCUCUACUCCUCCGGCAUCCUUUUGGUCUUGAAGAUCGCAUUGAACAACCUGGAGAGCCACUCCAUUCCUAACCUACCCAUGCAUUUCCAGAACUCCACCGGGAUCUCGUCAGGCCCGGUCGCUCGACC
RNAcentral lists this long non-coding RNA (225 nucleotides) under Nicotiana benthamiana. RNAcentral's name for it is "long non-coding RNA (NBEN_LNC000736)". Lineage: Eukaryota; Viridiplantae; Streptophyta; Magnoliopsida; Solanales; Solanaceae. The record is from RNAcentral.